ACUCUUGAUCUCUUUUCUUGAUCUUUUUCUUCUCUUCUUCUCUUGCUUUUCUCUCCUUGAAUUAUGCUGCUACUAGUAGGUGGAAACCAACACAAGGUGGACGCCUAAGUGCCCUUGGGUGUGGAAGAGAGAGGAUGCCCAAGGAGGGGCGUGUGGGAUGCCCAAAGGAGAGGAGAGAAAGGGAGAGGAAGAGAGAGAAUGGAGGACUUCUAUGGGGCAUGGGGCUUGCU
This 230-nucleotide long non-coding RNA is filed under the name Elaeis guineensis (African oil palm). RNAcentral's name for it is "long non-coding RNA (EGUI_LNC041570)". The record is from RNAcentral. Lineage: Eukaryota; Viridiplantae; Streptophyta; Magnoliopsida; Arecales; Arecaceae.